UGCGUAGGCGGAUAAAUAAGUCAGAAGUGAAAGCUCACCGCUUAACGGUGGAAUUGCUUUUGAUACUGUAUAUCUUGAAUUAGGUUGAGGUUAGCGGAAUGUGGCAUGUAGCGGUGAAAUGCAUAGAUAUGCCAUAGAACACCAAUUGCGAAGGCAGCUAGCUAGGCCUAUAUUGACGCUGAGGCACGAAAGCGUGGGGAGCGAACAGGAUUAGAUACCCUGGUAGUCC
This 229-nucleotide ribosomal RNA is filed under the name uncultured bacterium. RNAcentral's name for it is "partial 16S ribosomal RNA". It matches the Rfam family "Bacterial small subunit ribosomal RNA", at positions 568 to 796 of the family's 1533-position model. The record is from RNAcentral.